Molecule: ribosomal RNA, 253 nt
Filed under: uncultured bacterium
Lineage: Bacteria
Description: partial 16S ribosomal RNA
Rfam family: Archaeal small subunit ribosomal RNA
Source: RNAcentral
UACCAGCACCCCGAGUGGUCGGGACGUUUAUUGGGCCUAAAGCAUCCGUAGCCGGUUCUACAAGUCUUCCGUUAAAUCCACCUGCUCAACAGGUGGGCUGCGGAAGAUACUAUGGAGCUAGGAGGCGGGAGAGGCAAGCGGUACUCGAUGGGUAGGGGUAAAAUCCGUUGAUCCAUUGAAGACCACCAGUGGCGAAGGCGGCUUGCCAGAACGCGCUCGACGGUGAGGGAUGAAAGCUGGGGGAGCAAACCGG